RNAcentral lists this long non-coding RNA (1164 nucleotides) under Apteryx rowi (Okarito brown kiwi). RNAcentral's name for it is "lncRNA (ENSARWG00000011238.1)". The record is from RNAcentral. Lineage: Eukaryota; Metazoa; Chordata; Aves; Apterygiformes; Apterygidae.
GUAACUUCCCAAACAACAAAAACUUGUCCCUAGAUGUGGUGACUGUGAGCAGGAGUUAUUUAUAAAUUGUUACAAUGAAUUAGAAAUGUGUAAAAGUGAACUAAUAAUAAAUUUACUUUUGUAACUAAAGCUUGUUUACAAAUAUGUCUUUUGUGGUGAAUUCUGAAAAGACCUUGGCUGGGAACCAUAUAAUUUCCUUGUUUUUAUAACUUCUUUGCCUGUGGUGUAUCUUAAUCUGCUUCUAUGAGGUACUGUAGAUUUUAGAAGAUAGGCAGCCUGGAGGAAGCCAAACUUGCUUUUCCUCUGGGAUAUCAGGCUGGAAAGGAAAGCAAACUGCCUGCCACGCUGCUCGGCUUGUGCCAAGUAAUGCCUUUCAAGAGCUGGCAUGAUCCUUCCAUCUCAUUCACGUGACUUUUCUGUCUCAGACAGGCUACUGGGUGUCUCUUGCGGAAGAGGACACAAGAAAAAACACUGGAUUUCAACAGAAAAGUUGAGAAACCUGAAUUUAAGGUAUGCUAAGGAAAGUGUCACUCUCCUACCUGACAAAUGAAGGGGUUUGUCGAAGUUUAGAAGAGUUUUGAACAACAGUGCAUGGACCUGAAGUCCACGGCCGACUCCUCCUGCAAGCACCCUGCCUGCAGUUGCUUCAACCUUUGGGGUAGGAAGGAGAGUGUGUGUGUGUGUGUGUGUGUGUGAGCCUCAUGAGCUGCAUGAAGUCAAGAGCUGAGAAGCUUCCUGUUUCCUUUUUAAGGCUUAACAGAAUUUGAAAGCAGCCGCUGCUGCGACCUGGACCAAUGAUCUGGGCAGAGAGACGGGGGAGUUUCAGCUCGGCUGCGCCUGGCGCCCGUUACGAAUGCCAGCUUGGCCUUCUCCUCCCCACGUGGAGCACGGGCAAGAAGGGGCUGCCUGCAGGCCACUCCUGAGGGCAGCCAGGCUGAGAUGCAGCUGGACACCCAGUGUCUGCUCUUCCAGCAAGCGAGGGUCUCUGCCUAUUCCUGCCCCUGGGACACAUGAGCAGGGAUGUGGAUGCAGGAGUGAUGCUCUUGAGGCAAUUUCUUCUGGCUCUCUUGGAGGAAAGUCCAUGGCGCAAGCCAUUGGACCAUAAAUCUUCUGUGUCCCAAGGAAGGAGGUUACAGAAAGACCGAUCCAGCAACUGAGCUAAAU